RNAcentral lists this ribosomal RNA (152 nucleotides) under Castanediella sp. RNAcentral describes it as "partial large subunit ribosomal RNA". The record is from RNAcentral. Lineage: Eukaryota; Fungi; Ascomycota; Sordariomycetes; Amphisphaeriales; Castanediellaceae.
ACUUCGCUAGGUUUAGGCCAGCAUCGGUUUCCGUAGGGGGAUAAAAGCUUUAGGAAUGUGGCUCUUCGGAGUGUUAUAGCCUAUUGUAUAAUACCCUUAUGGGGACCGAGGUACGCGCUCUGCAAGGAUGCUGGCGUAAUGGUCAUCAACGA